RNAcentral lists this ribosomal RNA (568 nucleotides) under uncultured bacterium. Its description in RNAcentral is "partial 16S ribosomal RNA". It matches the Rfam family "Bacterial small subunit ribosomal RNA", at positions 355 to 914 of the family's 1533-position model. The record is from RNAcentral.
UGGGGAAUAUUGCACAAUGGGCGCAAGCCUGAUGCAGCCAUGCCGCGUGUGUGAAGAAGGCCUUCGGGUUGUAAAGCACUUUCAGCGAGGAGGAAGGUGGUGAACUUAAUACGUCAUCAAUUGACGUUACUCGCAGAAGAAGCACCGGCUAACUCCGUGCCAGCAGCCGCGGUAAUACGGAGGGUGCAAGCGUUAAUCGGAAUUACUGGGCGUAAAGCGCACGCAGGCGGUUUGUUAAGUCAGAUGUGAAAUCCCCGGGCUCAACCUGGGAACUGCAUUUGAAACUGGCAAGCUAGAGUCUCGUAGAGGGGGUAGAAUUCCAGGUGUAGCGGUGAAAUGCGUAGAGAUCUGGAGGAAUACCGGUGGCGAAGGCGGCCCCCUGGACGAAGACUGACGCUCAGGUGCGAAAGCGUGGGGAGCAAAACAGGAUUAGAUACCCUGGUAGUCCACGCUGUAAACGAUGUCGAUUUUGGAGGUUGUGCCCUUGAGGCGUGGCUUCCGGAGCUAACGCGUUAAAUCGACCGCCUGGGGAGUACGGCCGCAAGGUUAAAACUCAAAGUGAAUUGAC